CGUGCACCAGUGGGGUCCCUCAGCCUGGCCUGUGCCCUCUUGCAAUCUGGGACCCCUCAGGAGAGCCAGUUUUGGCCUGAUCCCGCAGGCCAGGCUGAGGGACCUCACUGAUGCACG
This is a microRNA precursor of Myotis lucifugus (little brown bat), 117 nucleotides long. It matches the Rfam family "mir-9193 microRNA precursor family". The record is from Rfam. Lineage: Eukaryota; Metazoa; Chordata; Mammalia; Chiroptera; Vespertilionidae.